RNAcentral lists this transfer RNA (90 nucleotides) under Verrucomicrobiota bacterium. Its description in RNAcentral is "Verrucomicrobia bacterium (freshwater metagenome) tRNA-Ser". It matches the Rfam family "tRNA". Rfam says of the family: Transfer RNA (tRNA) molecules are approximately 80 nucleotides in length. Their secondary structure includes four short double-helical elements and three loops (D, anti-codon, and T loops). Lineage: Bacteria; Pseudomonadati; Verrucomicrobiota. The record is from RNAcentral.
GGACGAGUGGCGGAGCGGUUGAACGCGGCGGUCUUGAAAACCGCAGAUGCCGAAAGGCAUUCGUAGGUUCGAAUCCUACCUCGUCCGCAA